GACGAACGCUGGCGGCGUGCUUAACACAUGCAAGUCGAACGAGACGAUUGAAAGCUUGCUUUCGAAAGUCGAGUGGCAAACGGGUGAGUAACGCGUAGACAACCUGCCUUUGAGAUGGGGACAACAGUUCGAAAGGACUGCUAAUACCGAAUGUUGUAUAUUUUCCACAUGGAAGAUAUAUUAAAGAUGGCCUCUAUUUAUAAGCUAUCGCUCAAAGAUGGGUCUGCGUCUGAUUAGCUAGUUGGUGGGGUAACGACCUACCAAGGCGACGAUCAGUAGCCGGUCUGAGAGGUUGCACGGCCACAGUGGACCGUACACACGGCCCAGACUCCUACGGGAGGCAGCAGUGGGGAAUCUUCCACAUUGGACGAAAGUCUGAUGGAGCAACGCCGCGUGAGUGAAGAAGGGUUUCGUCUCGUAAAGCUCUGUUGUCGGGGACGAAUGUGCAUUACUUGAAUAAAGUAGUGUAAUGACGGUACCUGACGAGGAAGCCACGGCUAACUACGUGCCAGCCGCCGCCGUAA
This 524-nucleotide ribosomal RNA is filed under the name uncultured bacterium. RNAcentral describes it as "partial 16S ribosomal RNA". It matches the Rfam family "Bacterial small subunit ribosomal RNA", at positions 28 to 523 of the family's 1533-position model. The record is from RNAcentral.